Molecule: unclassified non-coding RNA, 336 nt
Filed under: soil metagenome
Description: partial contains 5.8S ribosomal RNA, internal transcribed spacer 2, and large subunit ribosomal RNA
Rfam family: 5.8S ribosomal RNA (bases 1-120)
Source: RNAcentral
GAUGAAGAACGUAGCGAAAUGCGAUAAGUAAUGUGAAUUGCAGAAUUCAGUGAAUCAUCGAAUCUUUGAACGCACAUUGCGCCCGCCAGUAUUCUGGCGGGCAUGCCUGUUCGAGCGUCAUUUCAACCAUCAAGCCCCCGGCUUGUGUUGGGGACCUGCGGCUGCCGCAGGCCCUGAAAAGCAGUGGCGGGCUCGCUGUCACACCGAGCGUAGUAGCAUACAUCUCGCUCUGGGCGUGCUGCGGGUUCCGGCCGUUAAACCACCUUCAUAACCCAAAGUUGACCUCGGAUCAGGUAGGAAGACCCGCUGAACUUAAGCAUAUCAAUAAGCGGAGGA